Long non-coding RNA from Panicum hallii, 1565 nucleotides. RefSeq lists it as uncharacterized. NCBI's taxonomy places the organism in Eukaryota, Viridiplantae, Streptophyta, Magnoliopsida, Poales, Poaceae. The transcript has 3 exons. The record is from RefSeq and is a predicted model, not a curated record.
AAAGAAUUUUCUGCACGGAGGUGGUACUUCUUCUGCAGAGGUUCGUUUUGGAGCUAGCACGCCCCGACGCCGCGCCGCCGCACCCGCUCCGAUGUGUGAAAUUAAGAGAUGUGAUGCUGAUGAGCAGUACUUGGUACCAUCUAUGAGUGGCACGGCAUAAAUACAAGAAGAUGGAAGUGAAGAGGUAGAGAAUGAAGAUACCAUGAAUGUCAUUCGUGAUAAGAUCGCUGAUGAUUUGAGGUGCACAUAAGCAGCUCAUGACUAAAUCUGUGGGAGGAGAAACAAGGGAAAUCCAGAUGGUUAUCUGUUGAUGGAAGGUUCUUUCAAGGCCUAUACUUUAUGCCCGUACUGUCUAUGCCUCUAAAUUUCACAAGCUAGCAGUUUACAUAACUUGGGCAUAUGUACAUGAUCAUCUAUGGUCACUGUUUAUUUUUUAAAUGCUUUUGAACAUCUGCUGCAAAUGCUUGUGAUGAGCAUACAUGCAUGAACAACUGUUGUAAUUUGUUAGAUGUGCCAUCUCAGGGUGACUGAACAACUGUCGCUACGGUUGCCGCCUGUUAUUGGGGUUCAGAUAGUGAUAGGUUACUGAAGGUUGUGUUUUACAUGUUGAACCUGUGCCACCAAAGGUUGCAAAUUGAGUGCAUAAUUGGUCUGCAGGUUGUAGCUUUAAGAUAGUCGUGAUAUUUCACAGUUUUGUAGAACAAUGCAACAAUUUGAUGUAUUUUAGAUUUGGUCGAUUAAUAAUGGAUAUAGUUUGCAAGUGGUUUAGUGAAAUGUUUUAUCAAUAACAAUGGUAUGCACGUGAAUGGCCCCUUUCAUUUGGGGGUAAUGUAGUGUUACAAUGUACAAACUGUAGACGGACCAUAUAUGUUUAUAAUGGCCCUUUUUCAUUUGAUGUUUAUGUGGUAUCUAGGAGAUUGCCUAUUACUAUAAUUAUGCAUGGCUGCUUCUGGACCUUGUAAUUAGUUUCUCCCGCAAGCUCUUGUUCAUAAAUUGUAUCUUGCUUGCUGCCAUUGUUUUGUUAUAACUUGUGGUUGAAAUUCCAUCAUCUGGAUACAUGAUUAACAAGAAAAGACUACUUUCUGUUCAGUUGUACUUCUCAAAGAAGUGCAGGUAAAUAGACAGCUCUUUUCAUUUUCUUGAUGAGUUACUCACAUUUGCAAGCAUCACCAUGAGUCAAAUGUUGUAUUUUGUUAACUAUAGGUUCUGAACAUUUGAUUGGAGUAUUUUAGAAAAUGCAGUACUGUUAUGAACAAUUAGGAGUUCCAGACAUCUCGCUUUUUCUGUUAUGUUUUCUAACAUGCCUUGUUAUGCAGUCACAUACAAUAUUUCAGUUCUACUGUCUAUAUGCUACGACUUAUCCUUAGUUUUCCCCACUUUGGCCAGAUGAUAACAUCCUUUUUGUCCCAGAAAAUUAUGUUGGGAUCCCAAGCAGUGAAGGAAGUCCAAGCUAUAUCAGACUUCUUUCUUCUUCCUUUUCAGCUGCAUUUGUUAGGAAGGUUGUAACAUCUAUAGAAUGUAUGUAAUGAAGCAUGUGUAUCUAUGAUGUAUAUGAGGUAUAUUUG